UAGUGCUGCAGUUUAACNCAUUAANNACUCCGCNUGGNGAGUACGNUCGCAAGACUGAAANUCAAAAGGAAUUGACGGGGGCCCGCACAAGCGGUGGAGCAUGUGGUUUAAUUCGAAAGCAACGCGAAGAACCUUACCAGGUCUUGACAUCCUCUGACAAUCCUAGAGAUAGGACGUCCCCCUUCGGGGGCAGAGUGACAGGUGGUGCAUGGUUGUCGUCAGCUCGUGUCGUGAGAUGUUGGGUUAAGUCCCGCAACGAGCGCAACCCUUGAUCUUAGUUGCCAGCAUUCAGUUGGGCACUCUAAGGUGACUGCCGGUGACAAACCGGAGGAAGGUGGGGAUGACGUCAAAUCAUCAUGCCCCUUAUGACCUGGGCUACACACGUGCUACAAUGGACAGAACAAAGGGCAGCGAAACCGCGAGGUUAAGCCAAUCCCACAAAUCUGUUCUCAGUUCGGAUCGCAGUCUGCAACUCGACUGCGUGAAGCUGGAAUCGCUAGUAAUCGCGGAUCAGCAUGCCGCGGUGAAUACGUUCCCGGGCCUUGUACACACCGCCCGUCACACCACGAGAGUUUGUAACACCCGAAGUCGGUGAGGUAACCUUUAUGGAGCCAGCCGCCGAAGNGGACAG
Molecule: ribosomal RNA, 631 nt
Filed under: Bacillus sp. sh_51
Lineage: Bacteria; Bacillati; Bacillota; Bacilli; Caryophanales; Bacillaceae
Description: bacterial SSU rRNA
Rfam family: Bacterial small subunit ribosomal RNA
Source: RNAcentral